UUAAGUUAAUAAGGGCGCACGGUGGAUGCCUUGGCACUAGAAGCCGAUGAAGGACGUGACUAACGACGAAAUGCUUUGGGGAGCUGUAAGUGAGCAAUGAUCCAGAGAUGUCCGAAUGGGGGAACCCGGCAGGUAAUGCCUGUCACUCAUUACUGUUAAGGUAAUGUAGAGGAAGACGCAGUGAACUGAAACAUCUAAGUAGCUGUAGGAAGAGAAAGCAAAAGCGAUUGCCUUAGUAGCGGCGAGCGAAACGGCAAGAGGGCAAACCGAAGAGUUUACUCUUCGGGGUUGUAGGACUGCAACGUGGACUUAAAGAUUAUAGAAGAACUACCUGGGAAGGUAGGCCAAAGAGAGUAAUAGCCUCGUAUUCGAAAUAGUCUUUAUACCUAGCAGUAUCCUGAGUACGGCGAGACACGAGAAAUCUCGUCGGAAUCUGGGAGGACCAUCUCCCAACCCUAAAUACUCUCUAGUGACCGAUAGUGAACCAGUACCGUGAGGGAAAGGUGAAAAGCACCCCGGGAGGGGAGUGAAAUAGAACCUGAAACCGUGUGCCUACAACAAGUUCGAGCCCGUUAAUGGGUGAGAGCGUGCCUUUUGUAGAAUGAACCGGCGAGUUACGAUAUGAUGCGAGGUUAAGUUGAAGAGACGGAGCCGUAGGGAAACCGAGUCUUAAUAGGGCGCAUUAGUAUCAUGUCGUAGACCCGAAACCAUGUGACCUACCCAUGAGCAGGUUGAAGGUGAGGUAAAACUCACUGGAGGACCGAACCAGGGCACGUUGAAAAGUGCUUGGAUGACUUGUGGGUAGCGGAGAAAUUCCAAACGAACUUGGAGAUAGCUGGUUCUCUCCGAAAUAGCUUUAGGGCUAGCGUCGAUGUUAAGUCUCUUGGAGGUAGAGCACUGUUUGGGUGAGGGGUCCAUCCCGGAUUACCAAUCUCAGAUAAACUCCGAAUGCCAAUGAGAUAUAAUCGGCAGUCAGACUGCGAGUGCUAAGAUCCGUAGUCGAAAGGGAAACAGCCCAGACCACCAGCUAAGGUCCCAAAAUAUAUGUUAAGUGGAAAAGGAUGUGGGGUUGCACAGACAACUAGGAUGUUAGCUUAGAAGCAGCUAUUCAUUCAAAGAGUGCGUAAUAGCUCACUAGUCGAGUGACCCUGCGCCGAAAAUGUACCGGGGCUAAAACAUAUUACCGAAGCUGUGGAUACCUUUAUAGGUAUGGUAGGAGAGCGUUCUAUGUGCGAAGAAGGUGUACCGUGAGGAGUGCUGGAGCGCAUAGAAGUGAGAAUGCCGGUAUGAGUAGCGAAAGACAGGUGAGAAUCCUGUCCACCGUAAGACUAAGGUUUCCAGGGGAAGGCUCGUCCGCCCUGGGUUAGUCGGGACCUAAGGAGAGACCGAAAGGUGUAUCCGAUGGACAACAGGUUGAUAUUCCUGUACUAGAGUAUAUAGUGAUGGAGGGACGCAGUAGGCUAACUAAACCAGACGAUUGGAAGUGUCUGGCCAAGCAGUGAGGUGUGAUAUGAGUCAAAUGCUUAUAUCUUUAACAUUGAGCUGUGAUGGGGAGCGAAGUUUAGUAGCGAAGUUAGUGAUGUCACACUGCCGAGAAAAGCUUCUAGCGUUAAUUAUACUCUACCCGUACCGCAAACCGACACAGGUAGUCGAGGCGAGUAGCCUCAGGUGAGCGAGAGAACUCUCGUUAAGGAACUCGGCAAAAUGGCCCCGUAACUUCGGGAGAAGGGGCGCUGACUGAUGGUCAGCCGCAGUGAAUAGGCCCAAGCAACUGUUUAUCAAAAACACAGCUCUCUGCUAAAUCGUAAGAUGAUGUAUAGGGGGUGACGCCUGCCCGGUGCUGGAAGGUUAAGAGGAGUGCUUAGCGUAAGCGAAGGCAUGAAUUGAAGCCCCAGUAAACGGCGGCCGUAACUAUAACGGUCCUAAGGUAGCGAAAUUCCUUGUCGGGUAAGUUCCGACCCGCACGAAAGGCGUAAUGAUUUGGGCACUGUCUCAACGAGAGACUCGGUGAAAUUUUAGUACCUGUGAAGAUGCAGGUUACCCGCGACAGGACGGAAAGACCCCAUGGAGCUUUACUGCAGUUUGAUAUUGAGUAUCUGUACCACAUGUACAGGAUAGGUAGGAGCCUAUGACCUCGGGACGCCAGUUUCGAGUGAGGCGUUGUUGGGAUACUACCCUUGUGUUAUGGCUACUCUAACCCAGAUAGGUUAUCCCUAUCGGAGACAGUGUCUGACGGGCAGUUUGACUGGGGCGGUCGCCUCCUAAAAGGUAACGGAGGCGCCCAAAGGUUCCCUCAGAAUGGUUGGAAAUCAUUCGCAGAGUGUAAAGGUAUAAGGGAGCUUGACUGCGAGAGCUACAACUCGAGCAGGGACGAAAGUCGGGCUUAGUGAUCCGGUGGUUCCGUAUGGAAGGGCCAUCGCUCAACGGAUAAAAGCUACCCUGGGGAUAACAGGCUUAUCUCCCCCAAGAGUUCACAUCGACGGGGAGGUUUGGCACCUCGAUGUCGGCUCGUCGCAUCCUGGGGCUGUAGUCGGUCCCAAGGGUUGGGCUGUUCGCCCAUUAAAGCGGCACGCGAGCUGGGUUCAGAACGUCGUGAGACAGUUCGGUCCCUAU
This 2613-nucleotide ribosomal RNA is filed under the name human gut metagenome. Its description in RNAcentral is "bacterial LSU rRNA". It matches the Rfam family "Bacterial large subunit ribosomal RNA". The record is from RNAcentral.